RNAcentral lists this long non-coding RNA (308 nucleotides) under Phoenix dactylifera (date palm). Its description in RNAcentral is "long non-coding RNA (PDAC_LNC009025)". The record is from RNAcentral. Lineage: Eukaryota; Viridiplantae; Streptophyta; Magnoliopsida; Arecales; Arecaceae.
AGAGAGAUAUAAAGAAAAAGAAAAUGAACAUUGUUCGGAAGAAGUAAAAGCUAAGUAAAUACUCCAAUCUUAAGAAAAAGCAGAGCAAGCAUAAUAUAUUCAGCAUAUUUGUGAGACUUGUGUGAGCAUUCUUUUGGAAGGGAUAAAAUUAGUAAUUAAUUAUAUUUAAAUAGGAAGAGUUUGGAGUGAAUAUCUUGUUGUUGAAGAGAACAGUUUAACCUUUCUACAUUGCUCAUCAUAGGGAUGGUGCCAAUGGGGAGGCUAGUGGUAGUACCCGGUACUAUUUGACCUAACUAUUCGGUGUAGGG